CUACGGGGGGCUCCAGUGAGGAAUAUUGUACAAUGGGGGGAACCCUGAUGCAGCAACGCCGCGUGGAGGAUGACGCAUUUCGGUGUGUAAACUCCUUUUAUAUGUCAAGAAAAUGACGGUAGCAUAUGAAUAAGCGCCGGCUAACUCCGUGCCAGCAGCCGCGGUAAUACGGAGGGCGCAAGCGUUACUCGGAAUCACUGGGCGUAAAGGACGCGUAGGCGGGUUGAAAAGUCAGGUGUGAAAGCCUACAGCUUAACUGUAGAACUGCACUUGAAACUCUCAAUCUAGAGUAUGGGCGGGGCAGAUGGAAUUAGUGGUGUAGGGGUAAAAUCCGUAGAUAUCACUAGGAAUACCUAAAGCGAAGGCGAUCUGCUGGAACAUUACUGACGCUAAGGCGUGAAAGCGUGGGGAGCAAACAGGAUUAGAUACCCGCGUAGUC
Molecule: ribosomal RNA, 439 nt
Filed under: uncultured bacterium
Lineage: Bacteria
Description: partial 16S ribosomal RNA
Rfam family: Bacterial small subunit ribosomal RNA
Source: RNAcentral